This 211-nucleotide unclassified non-coding RNA is filed under the name plant metagenome. RNAcentral describes it as "partial contains small subunit ribosomal RNA, internal transcribed spacer 1, and 5.8S ribosomal RNA". The record is from RNAcentral.
UUUCCGUAGGUGAACCUGCGGAAGGAUCAUUCAUAAUAAAGUGUUUUAUGGCACUUUUUAAAAAUCUAUAUCCACCUUGUGUGCAAUGUUAGAUCUCGUCAAUCUUGGCGAGAUUUUUAUACAUCAACUCAUUCUUUAACUAAUUUGUCUGUAAAAUAUUAUGAAUACUUAAUUCAAAAUACAACUUUCAACAACGGAUCUCUUGGCUCUC